CCUAAGAUCCUGCUUUAUGGGGAACUCGCCACCGGCUGCUGCAAGAGAGGAGCCCCGAAGAGGAGAUACAAGGACUGCCUGAAACAACAUCUCAGCCUUGGCCACAUUGAUCUUCAUCACUGGUCUGCUCUGGCCUCCAAUGGGGAGGUCUGGAGACACCCCAUCUAUAACGCUGCUGAUGCCUUUGAGAACGCAGCAGGGUCACCCUGGAGGAGAAAAGACAAGGCAGAAAGAAUUAUGUCUUGCAGAAUUUACUACCUAAGGAGUCUUUCUGCUGUGCCUUUUGCAACUGGACAUGUCUAUGUCAUAUUGGCCUCAUUAGCCACCAGCGUGUUUGUAACAAACAUGGGGAGAGCCCUUCCCAAAUCUUCGUUUGCAAAGCCCAGCCAUGAUGAUGAUGAAACCACCCCACAGGUGAAGUGGCAGGUGAGGCAGACAGUUCUGCCAGUCUCUGUGAAACACCAGCCACAGCCACCCUCUGCCUGCAGCAGCACUGUGGCUCUUUCUGAGCUCCAGCUGCUGCUGGUGCUGUGCUCUGUGACACUGCUGGCAAAUGUUUCCUUCCUGCAGCAGCGUUUGUUCAGGCCACAGCUCUGUAAACACUCAUGUAGCAACUGUGUCCGAGUUGGCUGAAAUUAAUGGAACUACACAAAGCAAAACACACACAGGAGCCUCCCAGAACAGAAACCUGCGGGUUGGCAGUGGUGUUUAUUCACAUCCACUUCACCACUGUGGUAUACAAUCAAAGUAAUUAAGAAAACGAUGGGUAAGAUAAUGCUCAAGGGUGGUUUUUCCCUUUUUAUGCUUAUUUUAACAUAAUGAAUUUAGUGGAGUCUGUGAUAAUCUUUUUUUUUCAACUACAAAAUGCCCGAGUUUGAGGGGUGUUGAUUAACCUGACCAGCCCGACAUGCUCAGCCUCAGUUUCACUGCUUGUUGCAGAAGUGAAAAGCAUUUGUCUGGCCAAAGCCUGACCUGCUUUGUCAAACUGUCUCUAGGCUGUUAACACCUCCCAGAAUCACAGAAUGGUUUGGAUUUGAAGCGACCUGAAGGAUCAUCCAGUUCCUCUGCCUGCCAUGGGCAGGGACACCUUCCACUGGACCAGGUUGCUCCAUCCUGGCCUUGGACACUUCCAGGGCUGGGGCAGCCACAGCUUCCCUGGGAAUUCCAUCCCAGCCCCUCCCCACCCUCACAGGGAGAAAUUCCUUCCCAGUAUCCCACCUAACCCUGCCCUCUGGCAGUGGGAAGCCAUUCCCCCUUGUCCUGUCCCUCCAUCCCUUGGAAAUAGUCUCUCUCCAUCUUUCCUGCAGGUUCCCUUCAGGUCCUGGAAGGCCACAAUUAGGUCACCCCAAAGCUUCUGUUCUCCAGGCUGAACAAUCCCAACUAUCCAGCCUUCCCUCCCAGCAGAGCUGCUCCACCCCUCUGAUCACCUGGGUGCCUCCUCUGGACUCUCUCCAACAGGUCAGUGCCCUUCCUGUGAUGAAAUCAUAGAACCAUGGAAUGGUUUAGGCUGGAAGGAACCCUAAAACCUAUCUCACUGCACCCCCUGCCACAGGCACGAGCACCUUCCACUCCUCCAAUCACAGACCUAAAGGCUGACAGCUUUAUUUGGGCACUAUCUGGGUAGGUAUGGAUUGAUUUGAUUCCUUUAUUUUAUUAAUUUCCCCCUCUUUGUGCUUCUGUGGGUCCAUGGCUGUGCUGGCCACGUGAUAGGGGCACAUGAACACCUGAGGAUCCCAAUAUUUCCAUGGGAAAUGCAAACACAUGUUUAAUUCCCACUGGAUUUCAGCUCCAGCACUUUUAUUAUGCCAGCCCUUCAGCUGGAGCUGUGCCCUGCAGCUCCAGGGCUGCAGCAGAAAACAGAGCUCCUGAAUCUUUAUGGGAAGUCCAACAAACUGGUGAAUACUGAAAAACUAGGAGGGAAGAAUGGAAGUAGAGCUGCCACUGAUGCUGAGGUGACUCCUGAGGCAGCAGGAGGGGGGGAAGCUGUCUUGGAGCGUUAUUAUCACUUGACCACAUGGAUGAAGAUGGCAGGAAGCUGCAACACUGUCAAAACACCAAAAAAAAAAAGGCAUCUACAGAGGUGCAAAGUGGUCAGUCCUGUCCUGUGUGACACUUUCUUGCUGCCAGGGGCAAAUAUCCAGUGGGAAAUCCAGCGCACAGAAGUUAUUUGGGAACAAAACACAGCAGCCAACAUGUUGCUCCAUAAAAUUUCUGUUUUCCGAGGCUCAGUAAUUACAGUGAGCAGUUCCCAGAGUGCACAGACAAAAGGGAGUGCAGUGAGAUGGCACAGCCAGAGUGGCUCCUGUUCCAUCCUUUCCAAACAUUUUGUGCAUCUGUUGGUAUUUGAGUUCAGAGGGACUGAUCCAGCACCAGCUGAUGCUGAUGAAAGGAUAUUCAUUAUCUUUAGGGGCUUCUGGAUUAGCAUCAGAUUUAUUAAACCUUUCAGCCAGGGCCUGGUUGGCCAUUUGGGGGUUGAAAGCAUCUUGUGUCCACAAGUGUCUUAAUUAUAAAUUAUCUACACUGUCACAUGUUUGAUAUUUUGACAGGCUUGAGGACUCUGGGAGUACUUUAGUAGGUGGAAAGGUGUCUAAUACUGAAAUGGACUUUCAGACAGGAGUGUGUAAUGGUCUGCUUUUCAACUGAAGAAAAUGCUUGAUGUAUUUUUGUAUUUUUAUCCUCUUGUAAUGCAUCAUCUGGGGCAUUUAAGCCUAAGUGUGUAGAACAGGAAUUGUUCACACAAGAUGAGAGGAGCUCUGGACAUACAGGCUCAGAUCCUGACUCUGCCUUCACUUGACUAAGUCCUAAAAUCUGGACUGUGUCUGCAAAGUAUGUAUAUUAAUAAUUCCUUAUACAGGGGGAAUAUUAUGAAACCCUUUAUGAUUUUAAGAUCCUUCACUGGUAAAUGUGAUACUGAAAGGGUGAAUGGAAAAUGGAAAUAUAUCAGAUAUUCCCUGACUUUUUCAAGAACUGCUUUGCAGAAUUUAGCCUACAGGGUAACUCCCCAUGAAAUUUAUUAUUCACUUAAAUACUGCAUUGCAAGAUUGUUCCAGCUAAACAAAGUGUCCUACUGCUCACUAUCAGAGGGAACAGUCUGCUGCAACUACUCCAUAAUUGUGCUACUAAUGUAUACUUUAUUAAACUCCUGCUGUUUUCUUAACUGCUUUAUCUACUAAAAAUAGUCUGAUUAAUAAAAUGGAUGUCAGAUGUAUCCAUCUUUAUGCAUUUUCCCCAUGGAAUUAGACAGUACUAAACAGUAAUUUGGAUUUUUUCUUUUCCUGUUAGUGUUAAGCAAUGUCAGUUAUUCUCUGCAGUGGAUUGCUGGGAGGAUAUUGCAAAUUUGAAUUCAAUUCAGGUUGGCAGCAAUGAGAAUUCAGGUGUUAACUGGUCUGUUGUGUCAUGGCAACCAUGGAACACAUUAGGAUGCCACUGGCCCAAGUGAACCCAGUCUGGAUGAAGGCCCUUUUCUUCAGUUUUAACCUCACAAAAUCUGAAAAUGAACGUGCUUGGGAAGCCCCCCUUAAAAUCACAUCA
Molecule: long non-coding RNA, 3531 nt
Organism: Pseudopipra pipra
Lineage: Eukaryota; Metazoa; Chordata; Aves; Passeriformes; Pipridae
Exons: 2
Source: RefSeq, a predicted model, not a curated record